AGAGCAGGUACCCACAGACGACAAAAGAAUGUGGCAGAUUCUCUACAGUAGAGUUACAGGAAGUUGGGAGCCAUCUGAUAUAAGUGCUGAGGAUUGAGCUUGAGUCCUCUGGAAGAGCAGUAUGCACUCAAUCACAAAGACAUCUUUCCAGCCCCUGGCAAGGCCAUUCAUUGAAGGAUGAGAUAUUGAGCCCCUUCAUAAAACAGUGGGUAUACAACAGCAUUUGAAAGUGGACAGAAUAUGUUAGUUCAUCCCUGCGUCCCCAAAGCUGGCCGCCGACUACGACCAUGAAGGCUGCUGGUGCCCUCUGGAGGAAUUUUUGUGCAUUGCAGAAGCCUAGCUGGAAUGGAGAACAUCCACUUACUUAGAAGACCCAGUAAAAGCAGAACCGCAGGAAUA
Long non-coding RNA from Microtus oregoni (creeping vole), 399 nucleotides. RefSeq lists it as uncharacterized. The transcript is spliced from 3 exons. The record is from RefSeq and is a predicted model, not a curated record. Lineage: Eukaryota; Metazoa; Chordata; Mammalia; Rodentia; Cricetidae.